RNAcentral lists this unclassified non-coding RNA (61 nucleotides) under Saccharolobus solfataricus. The record is from RNAcentral. Lineage: Archaea; Thermoproteati; Thermoproteota; Thermoprotei; Sulfolobales; Sulfolobaceae.
CUAGUCCCUUGACAGCCCCGAAGAAGGGUAUUGUAUGAGGGGGACUUCCUGCCGUGAUCGU